Molecule: long non-coding RNA, 395 nt
Filed under: Pan troglodytes (chimpanzee)
Lineage: Eukaryota; Metazoa; Chordata; Mammalia; Primates; Hominidae
Description: long non-coding RNA NONPTRT014764
Source: RNAcentral
UUGGGAGUUGAUCACCCCAGGCAAGAUGCUGACUUAGCAGAGAAUCAAACACCUGAUAAUAUGCCUCACGGAAUGAACAAAGAAAUGAAACACAGCCUGGGAGAUAAGAUACUCUUUUCAAGUCACCUAUGAGGUAAAUAUAAACCCCAGGGUUAAGUGGAAUCAAAAGUAACAUUAUCCUAAAGUAAUUGAAAAUGAAAAUAAAAUGUAAUAGAAGCAAAAAUGUGGCUUCUAUUACACACCUUUAGGAUGCUUUCCAUUCAUCCACAAAUCCCUCUCCAGAGUCUGCUUUUUACAAUGGGAGGUCAUUGUUGGCAACACUGCCAAGAGCCUAAUCAAAAUGUGAGAACAUCUGUCACGCUCUCAUUGCAUGUCAAAGCUCUGCUGCACACAUA